UCGAGGAUCUUCCGCAAUGGGGGCAACCCUGACGGAGCGACGCCGCGUGCAGGAUGAAGGCCUUCGGGUCGUAAACUGCUGUCACACGUUAUGAAAAAGUACGAAUUAAUACUUCGCACCUUGACAAAGGCGUGAAAGGAAGCCACGGCUAACUUCGUGCCAGCAGCCGCGGUAAGACGAAGGUGGCUAGCGUUGCUCGGAAUUACUGGGCAUAAAGCGCGCGUAGGUGGUCGUGUAAGCGGGAGAUGAAAGCCCAUGGCUCACCCAUGGAACUGUCCCCCGGACUGCACGGCUCGAGGAAGGAAGGGGAGAAUGGAAUUCCCGGUGUAGCGGUGAAAUGCGUAGAUAUCGGGAGGAACGCCGGUGGCGAAAGCGAUUCUCUGGUCCUUUCCUGACACUGAGGCGCGAAAGCUAGGGGAGCAAACAGGAUUAGAUACCCCGGUAGUCC
Molecule: ribosomal RNA, 448 nt
Filed under: uncultured bacterium
Lineage: Bacteria
Description: bacterial SSU rRNA
Rfam family: Bacterial small subunit ribosomal RNA
Source: RNAcentral